Unclassified non-coding RNA from Panthera pardus (leopard), 130 nucleotides. The record is from Ensembl. Lineage: Eukaryota; Metazoa; Chordata; Mammalia; Carnivora; Felidae.
ACUUCCUCUAUUUCAAGAUCAAAAGUCCUGAAGGUUUAUGUCUUUGAGCCCCACAUAUCCUUGCAUUUUUCUGUUCAGUUUUUUGAUCUACAGAGAUGUCAUAAACAUCACUGCAAGUUUAUAUUAAAAA